This 468-nucleotide ribosomal RNA is filed under the name uncultured bacterium. RNAcentral's name for it is "partial 16S ribosomal RNA". It matches the Rfam family "Bacterial small subunit ribosomal RNA", at positions 28 to 507 of the family's 1533-position model. The record is from RNAcentral.
GACGAACGCUGGCGGCGUGCUUAACACAUGCAAGUCGAACGGAAAGGCCCUGCUUUUGUGGGGUGCUCGAGUGGCGAACGGGUGAGUAACACGUGAGUAACCUGCCCUUGACUUUGGGAUAACUUCAGGAAACUGGGGCUAAUACCGGAUAGGAGCUCCUGCUGCAUGGUGGGGGUUGGAAAGUUUCGGCGGUUGGGGAUGGACUCGCGGCUUAUGAGCUUGUUGGUGGGGUAGUGGCUUACCAAGGCUUUGACGGGUAGCCGGCCUGAGAGGGUGGCCGGCGACAGUGGGACUGAGAUACGGCGCAGACUCCUACGGGGGGCAGCAGUGGGGAAUAUUGCACAAUGGGCGGAAGCCUGAUGCAGCAACGCCGCGUGCGGGAUGACGGCCUUCGGGUUGUAAACCGCUUUCGCCUGUGACGAAGCGUGAGUGACGGUAAUGGGUAAAGAAGCACCGGCUAACUACGUG